This 80-nucleotide transfer RNA is filed under the name Spirochaetia bacterium. RNAcentral's name for it is "tRNA-Leu". It matches the Rfam family "tRNA". From Rfam's summary of the family: Transfer RNA (tRNA) molecules are approximately 80 nucleotides in length. Their secondary structure includes four short double-helical elements and three loops (D, anti-codon, and T loops). The record is from RNAcentral. Lineage: Bacteria; Pseudomonadati; Spirochaetota; Spirochaetia.
GCGAGAGUGGUGAAACUGGUAGACACGCCAGACUUAGGAUCUGGUGCCACGGCAUAAGGGUUCGAGUCCCUUCUCUCGCA